GGCGGCGUAGCUCAGUUGGUUAGAGCACGCGGUUCAUACCCGCGGUGUCACGUGUUCGAAUCACGUCGCCGCUA
Molecule: transfer RNA, 74 nt
Filed under: Armatimonadota bacterium
Lineage: Bacteria; Bacillati; Armatimonadota
Description: Armatimonadetes bacterium (rhizosphere metagenome) tRNA-Met
Rfam family: tRNA
About the family: Transfer RNA (tRNA) molecules are approximately 80 nucleotides in length. Their secondary structure includes four short double-helical elements and three loops (D, anti-codon, and T loops). Further hydrogen bonds mediate the characteristic L-shaped molecular structure. tRNAs have two regions of fundamental functional importance: the anti-codon, which is responsible for specific mRNA codon recognition, and the 3' end, to which the tRNAs corresponding amino acid is attached (by aminoacyl-tRNA synthetases). tRNAs cope with the degeneracy of the genetic code in two manners: having more than one tRNA (with a specific anti-codon) for a particular amino acid; and 'wobble' base-pairing, i.e. permitting non-standard base-pairing at the 3rd anti-codon position.
Source: RNAcentral